UGGUGAUUUCUUGGUGAUCUGAUGGAUUUCUUGGUGAUUUCUUGGAGAUCUGAUGGAUAGCUUGGUGAUCUGCAGUUUUUCGGCGAGGGGUCGUGGUCAAGGCUGUAAUGCUAUCAGCUAGCUAACCUCCACCAUCUUACAGGAGACAUGGACAGCCAAUUGCGGGAUCACGGCUCCUGGCCCGGCGAGUCUGCACCGAUGUCGAUGCAGCCGGUGUCAUGGCAACCGUCAAAGGAUGGCGAGCGUCUGGUUGGUCGGAUUCUUCUGAACAAGAGGAUGAAGGACGGGUCGGUUCCUGCAGACUGUGGAGCGCUGCUCGGACUCAAGGUGGCCGCUUCUUCUUCUGCU
Long non-coding RNA from Etheostoma cragini (Arkansas darter), 348 nucleotides. RefSeq lists it as uncharacterized. NCBI's taxonomy places the organism in Eukaryota, Metazoa, Chordata, Actinopteri, Perciformes, Percidae. The transcript has 3 exons. The record is from RefSeq and is a predicted model, not a curated record.